CAAGGGCGUAUAUUAAAGUUGUUGUAGUUAAAAAGCUCGUAGUUGGAUUUCUGGUGGGAGCGAUCGGUCUGGCGCUUAGCGCGAGUACUUGCAUCGUCUCCGGCCAUCCUUGGGGAGAGUCUGUCUGGCAUUAGGUUGUCGGGCAGAGGAUCCUCAUCGUUUACUGUGAAAAAAUUAGAGUGUUCAAAGCAGGCUUAUGCCGUUGAAUAUAUUAGCAUGGAAUAAUAAGAUAGGACUUUGGUACUAUUUUGUUGGUUUGCGCACCAAAGUAAUGAUUAAUAGGGACAGUUGGGGGUAUUCGUAUUCCGUUGUCAGAGGUGAAAUUCUUGGAUUUACGGAAGACGAACUACUGCGAAAGCAUUUACCAAGGAUGUUUUCAUUAA
RNAcentral lists this ribosomal RNA (383 nucleotides) under uncultured eukaryote. RNAcentral describes it as "partial 18S ribosomal RNA". It matches the Rfam family "Eukaryotic small subunit ribosomal RNA", at positions 592 to 976 of the family's 1831-position model. The record is from RNAcentral.